GAUGAACGCUGGCGGCGUGCUUAACACAUGCAAGUCGAACGGUGAAGCAGGAGCUUGCUCUUGUGGAUCAGUGGCGAACGGGUGAGUAACACGUGAGCAACCUGCCCCUGACUCUGGAUAAGCGCUGGAAACGGCGUCUAAUACUGGAUAUGUGAUGUGACCGCAUGGUCUGCAUCUGGAAAGAAUUUCGGUUGGGGAUGGGCUCGCGGCCUAUCAGCUUGUUGGUGAGGUAAUGGCGCACCAAGGCGUCGACGGGUAGCCGGCCUGAGAGGGUGACCGGCCACACUGGGACUGAGACACGGCCCAGACUCCUACGGGAGGCAGCAGUGGGGAAUAUUGCACAAUGGGCGGAAGCCUGAUGCAGCAACGCCGCGUGAGGGAUGACGGCCUUCGGGUUGUAAACCUCUUUUAGCAGGGAAGAAGCGAAAGUGACGGUACCUGCAGAAAAAGCACCGGCUAACUACGUGCCAGCAGCCGCCGCGG
Molecule: ribosomal RNA, 483 nt
Filed under: uncultured bacterium
Lineage: Bacteria
Description: partial 16S ribosomal RNA
Rfam family: Bacterial small subunit ribosomal RNA
Source: RNAcentral